GAAAGCAGAGAUGGGGAUGAGGUUUGAAGGUUGCCAGGCACCAUCCACCCCUUCCGUCCUUCUCAACCCCAUCUUCUUUCCAAUCUCACUGCAACCCCAGGGGCUUGACACAGUCAGAGGGAGGGAGGUUAGAUUCACCCGAGGCUGGGGACGUGUCCCCUCGCCCACCUGGGAACAGGUGAGAGGGAGAGAAAUGAGCCCGAUCUGCACUGGGAAGGCUGGGAUUGGGAACGCAGGGGCACCCGGUAUCGGAGGACUGUGCAUUUUGAAUGUAGGUGAGAAAUUGGAGCCAUUUGAAGGCACAAAAUGAGGGAAGCUCCCAUGGG
Molecule: long non-coding RNA, 326 nt
Organism: Phyllostomus discolor (pale spear-nosed bat)
Lineage: Eukaryota; Metazoa; Chordata; Mammalia; Chiroptera; Phyllostomidae
Exons: 3
Source: RefSeq, a predicted model, not a curated record